RNAcentral lists this ribosomal RNA (232 nucleotides) under Allobosea sp. ISOM118_OTU1057. RNAcentral's name for it is "Bosea sp. ISOM118_OTU1057 partial 16S ribosomal RNA". It matches the Rfam family "Bacterial small subunit ribosomal RNA", at positions 29 to 289 of the family's 1533-position model. The record is from RNAcentral. Lineage: Bacteria; Pseudomonadati; Pseudomonadota; Alphaproteobacteria; Hyphomicrobiales; Alloboseaceae.
GCGAACGCUGGCGGCAGGCUUAACACAUGCAAGUCGAACGGGCACUUCGGUGCUAGUGGCAGACGGGUGAGUAACACGUGGGAACGUACCUUUCGGUUCGGAAUAAUUCAGGGAAACUUGGACUAAUACCGGAUAAGCCCUUCGGGGGAAAGAUUCAUCGCCGAUAGAUCGGCCCGCGUCUGAUUAGCUAGUUGGUGAGGUAAUGGCUCACCAAGGCGACGAUCAGUAGCUG